AUUAAAUCUUUGAUUAAUAAUUUAUGCGAUUCAUUAAAUUAAUGUAAUACUUUAAAGUGAUUAAAUGUGUUGUAUGAUUCAUUUUUUAUUUUUGUCAAACCUGUCAUUAUUCUACAUGAUACUGAAAAUAA
Long non-coding RNA from Apis dorsata (giant honeybee), 131 nucleotides. RefSeq lists it as uncharacterized. NCBI's taxonomy places the organism in Eukaryota, Metazoa, Arthropoda, Insecta, Hymenoptera, Apidae. The transcript is spliced from 3 exons. The record is from RefSeq and is a predicted model, not a curated record.